GCAUGCUUUACCAUGCAAGUCGGACCGGCAGCCCCAGAGAAGGCUUUGCUUCUUUGGGUGGCGAGUGGCGAACGGGGUGAGUAACAUAUCGGAACGUACCCGGGCAGGUGGGGGAUAACUAAUCGAAAGAUUAGUAAUUACCCGCAUAUCUUCUUGAGGAAGAAAGCAGGGGACCAUUUGGCCUUGCGCUGUUUGAGCGGCCGAUAUCUGAUUAGCUAGUUGGUGGGUAAAGGCCUACCAAGGCGACGAUCAGUAGCGGGUCUGAGAGGAAUGAUCCGCCACACUGGGAGUGAGACACGGCCCCAGACUCCUACGGGAGGCAGCAGUGGGGGAAUUUUGGACAAUGGGGGGCAAGCCUUGAUCCCAGCCAUGGCCCGCGGUGUUC
RNAcentral lists this ribosomal RNA (385 nucleotides) under Neisseria sicca. RNAcentral's name for it is "bacterial SSU rRNA". It matches the Rfam family "Bacterial small subunit ribosomal RNA", at positions 43 to 396 of the family's 1533-position model. The record is from RNAcentral. Lineage: Bacteria; Pseudomonadati; Pseudomonadota; Betaproteobacteria; Neisseriales; Neisseriaceae.